This is a non-coding RNA of Oncorhynchus mykiss (rainbow trout), 1733 nucleotides long. Lineage: Eukaryota; Metazoa; Chordata; Actinopteri; Salmoniformes; Salmonidae. The record is from the annotation of a RefSeq genome assembly.
ACAGCGUACUUGCAAAAAAUAAAAAUGAAUGGAGGAAUCUUGCACACUUGAGAGCAGUUAAAAAAACAUUCUGAUACAGUUUAAACCUUUCCUUGACUGGCUCUCGGUGGCCCUCUUUGUUUCCUGUACCUGUGGUAGGUGGACUUGUACACGCAGAAAAAAAAAGGAACUUGCAUUCACAUCCUUCUUUCAGUAACUGACAGGAAACAAUGAACAAGAGAACAGCUCUAACAAUUCUAUGCUGUUCCAUGUUCUGUGAGGCUUUUGGAGCAGUUCAAAAUGAGAUUCUAGUAGAACCAGGGGACACAGUCACCCUUGGCUGUGACAUUACCCUGGAGUAUGAGGUCAUGUGGUUUGUUCUUCGUCCUGAUGCCACUCUUUCAGUAGCCAUCACUAUGAAGACAAAUACACCCCUGAGCCUCAAAAGGUUUGAUGGUCGUUCCGAGUCAGUGUAUGACACAGGCCUGUUCAGAAGCAAUCUGAGCAUACUGAACAUCUCAGAGAGUGACGUGGGUCUGUACUACUGUGUUGAGCAGAGGGCUAACAUAUUUGAGAUCGGAAGUGGGACCAAGCUCUCCCUUAUCAGUGGUGGUCAGUUUCAGCAUUAUGGACAUGGGUGUAUCUGUGGUCCAUUUGGUCUGUCCCACGGCUUCCUUCAGUGAUGGGUUGUGAGUGGCUCUGUUGAUGAACUUCUGGCCAAUGAUUGACUGUCUAUUGUCGAUUGAUGUCAGUCCAGAUAUGCUGUUAACGUAGUGAUUGUUGAUGUAUCUUGGUAGUCUGUAAGCCAUUUUUAUUGCCAUGUUUUGGACCCUCUGUAGCCGAUUCAUCUGCUGCGGUGAAGCUGUUAUCCAGGCUGGUAGGGCGUAUUCAAAGAGGGGUCGGAUGUAGCUGAUGUAGACUUUCAGCACUCUCUGAGGUGAGGCUCCAUAUUUUCUUCCGCACAGCGUUUUUAGGUGGUUUAGUCUUUUUCGUCCCUCUCUCUCUAUGUUCGCUAUAUGGAUUUUUCAGUGCAUGUGCAUUUUCAGUGCACCUUCUUCUAGAAGGUGACUCCAAGGAAUUGUGCUUCUUUUUCUACUUUUAUUGUUUCACCGUAGAGUUUGAGAUCUAUGGGUUUCCUGUUUUUUUUUGCUGGUGCUUCUUGUGAAGAGGACACAUUGGGUCUUUUGUGGGUUCAAUUUUACUCGCCACAUGUUAGACCAUGUCUCGAUCAUUUAAAUAGACUUUUGGAGUUUUUUUGCAGCAAGUUGAGGACAUUUGGAGCUGGACCAGUAGCAGAGGUCAUCGGCAAACUGUGAAACUUGACCUAUGGUGGGUGGAGGGUAGUAAAUAUCUGAUAUGUAGAGUAAAAAAAGUAGCAGGCUUAGAACUGCCCCCUGUGGGACACCUGCUUCAGGGGUGAAAGGUGAGGAUAUUGCUGUGGAGACCUUCACUUUAAUUGUACGGUUGUGGAGAAAGCUAGUGAUUAUGUUUCUGAUGGAGAGUGGUAGUUUGAGAUUGGAGUCUGCAAGCCGGUAUCUUACCUCAUUUGCACACACUAUACUGUAAUGGAGCAGGUCUCAAACCCUCGACCUUCCAGCCCGAAGUCCAGCACGCUAUCCACUGUGCCACAAAAGCAUGCUCUGAACGGCAAGGUCGAUAUCCCAGGGUCGUUACACUACUCCCUCCUUUCAAAGAGCGCAUCCUCGCGCUAGCUUGCGACUCUACGUCUUACACGGAACCCAAAACAGCUGUGC